This 366-nucleotide ribosomal RNA is filed under the name Procambarus delicatus. Its description in RNAcentral is "partial large subunit ribosomal RNA". The record is from RNAcentral. Lineage: Eukaryota; Metazoa; Arthropoda; Malacostraca; Decapoda; Cambaridae.
GCUAGAAUGAAUGGUUGGACAAGAAAUAAUCUGUCUUAAAUGAAUAUAUUGAAUUUAACUUUUAAGUGAAAAGGCUUAAAUAAUCUGAAGGGACGAUAAGACCCUAUAAAACUUUAUAUUUGUAAGGUAGUAGUUAGUUUUAUUUAAAAUAUUAAUUAGAAUAUUUGGUUGGGGUGACAAGGAUAAAAUAUAAAAUAACUGUCUUUUUUUUUUUACAGUAAUGUUUGGUUUAAUGAUUCUAAAAGGGAUUAAAAGAUUAAGUUACUUCAGGGAUAACAGCGUAAUUUUCUUUAAGAGUUCUUAUCGACAGGAAAGUUUGCGACCUCGAUGUUGAAUUAAAAGUUCUUUAUAGAGUAGAGACUAUAA